AGAGUUUGAUCCUGGCUCAGAACGAACGCUGGCGGCGUGCUUAACACAUGCAAGUCGAACGAGAAUCGGAGCUUGCUCCGAGGAUAGUGGCGCACGGGUGAGUAACGCGUGGAUAACCUGCCCUGGUAUCUGGGAUAACAUCUCGAAAGGGGUGCUAAUACCGGAUAAGCCCACGGGAACUUUGGUUCUUGCGGGAAAAGGUGGCCUCUGAAUAUGCUACUGUAUCAGGAUGGGUCCGCGUACCAUUAGCUAGUUGGUGGUGUAAUGGACCACCAAGGCGACGAUGGUUAGCUGGUCUGAGAGGAUGAUCAGCCACACUGGAACUGAGACACGGUCCAGACUCCUACGGGAGGCAGCAGUGGGGAAUUUUGCGCAAUGGGGGAAACCCUGACGCAGCAACGCCGCGUGAGUGAUGAAGGCCUUCGGGUCGUAAAGCUCUGUCAGAGGGGAAGAAGUGUAUGGGUGCUAAUACCAUCUUUACUUGACGGUACCCUCAAAGGAAGCACCGGCUAACUCCGUGCCAGCAGCCGCGGUAAUACGGAGGGUGCAAGCGUUGUUCGGAUUUAUUGGGCGUAAAGCGCGUGUAGGCGGUUUUUUAAGUCUGAUGUGAAAGCCCUGGGCUCAACCCAGGAAGUGCAUUGGAAACUGGAAGACUUGAAUACGGGAGAGGGCAGUGGAAUUCCUAGUGUAGGAGUGAAUCCGUAGAUAUUAGAGACACCGUGCCGAAGCGCUGCCUGGACCCGUUAUGACGCUGAGACGCGAAAGCGUGGGUAGCAAACAGGAUUAGAUACCCUGGUAGUCCACGCCGUAAACGAUGAGUACUAGGUGUUGCGGGUAUUGACCCCUGCAGUGCCGCAGCUAACGCAUUAAGUUCUCCGCCUGGGAA
RNAcentral lists this ribosomal RNA (886 nucleotides) under uncultured bacterium. RNAcentral's name for it is "bacterial SSU rRNA". It matches the Rfam family "Bacterial small subunit ribosomal RNA", at positions 8 to 879 of the family's 1533-position model. The record is from RNAcentral.